This 253-nucleotide ribosomal RNA is filed under the name uncultured bacterium. Its description in RNAcentral is "partial 16S ribosomal RNA". It matches the Rfam family "Bacterial small subunit ribosomal RNA", at positions 524 to 776 of the family's 1533-position model. The record is from RNAcentral.
UACGGAGGGUGCGAGCGUUGUCCGGAAUUACUGGGCGUAAAGGGCGCGUAGGCGGCCUGCUAAGUCGGAUGUGAAAUCCCUCGGCUCAACCGAGGAACUGCAUCCGAUACUGGCGGGCUUGAAUCCGGGAGAGGGAUGUGGAAUUCCAGGUGUAGCGGUGAAAUGCGUAGAUAUCUGGAGGAACACCGGUGGCGAAGGCGGCAUCCUGGACCGGUAUUGACGCUGAGGCGCGAAAGCUAGGGGAGCAAACGGG